GAUUCUGGCUCAGAACGAACGCUGGCGGCAUGGAUUAGGCAUGCAAGUUGAACGAACUCCUUCGGGAGUGAGUAGCGGAAGGGUGAGGAACGCGUGAGUAAUCUGCCCCCCAGUUGGGAAUAACAGUUGGAAACGACUGCUAAUACCGAAUGUGGCUUAAGCUUCGCCUGGAGCUUUGGCUAAAGAUUUAUCGCUGGGGGAUGAGCUCGCGUCCCAUUAGGUAGUUGGUGAGGUAACGGCUCACCAAGCCGACGAUGGGUAGCUGGUCUGAGAGGAUGGUCAGCCACACUGGGACUGAGACACUGCCCAGACUCCUACGGGAGGCUGCAGUCGAGAAUCUUGGGCAAUGCGCGAAAGCGUGACCCAAGCAAUGCCGCGUGUAUGAUGAAGGCCCUCGGGUCGUAAAGUACUGUCUCCCGUGACGAAAUUUGACGGUAGCGGGGAAGGAAGCCACGGCUAACUACGUGCCAGCAGCUGC
This 478-nucleotide ribosomal RNA is filed under the name uncultured bacterium. RNAcentral describes it as "bacterial SSU rRNA". It matches the Rfam family "Bacterial small subunit ribosomal RNA", at positions 15 to 518 of the family's 1533-position model. The record is from RNAcentral.